CGGAGGGUGCAAGCGUUGUUCGGAAUUACUGGGCGUAAAGCGCGUGUAGGCGGCCUUUUAAGUCUGAUGUGAAAGCCCGGGGCUCACCCCCGGAAGUGCAUCGGAUACUGGGAGGCUCGAGUACCGGAGAGGAGGGUGGAAUUCCUGGUGUAGCGGUGAAAUGCGUAGAUAUCAGGAGGAACACCGGUGGCGAAGGCGGCCCUCUGGACGGAUACUGACGCUGAGACGCGAAAGCGUGGGGAGCAAACAGGAUUAGAUACCCUGGUAGUCCACGCCGUAAACGAUGGGUACUAGGUGUUCGGGGUAUUGACCCCCUGGGUGCCGAAGCUAACGCAUUAAGUACCCCGCCUGGGGAAUACGGUCGCAAGAUUA
Molecule: ribosomal RNA, 372 nt
Filed under: uncultured organism
Description: bacterial SSU rRNA
Rfam family: Bacterial small subunit ribosomal RNA
Source: RNAcentral